UUACAGCUCAAGUGGUAGAGCACAUGCUUAGCAUGCAUGAGGUCCUGGGUUCAAUCCCCAGUAA
Molecule: transfer RNA, 64 nt
Filed under: Camelus bactrianus (Bactrian camel)
Lineage: Eukaryota; Metazoa; Chordata; Mammalia; Artiodactyla; Camelidae
Also listed under: 1 other name
Rfam family: tRNA
About the family: Transfer RNA (tRNA) molecules are approximately 80 nucleotides in length.
Source: Rfam by way of RNAcentral